GUGCUCACUUCGGCAGCAUAUAUACUAACAUUGGAAUGAUACAGAGCAGAUGAGCAUGGCCCUUGCACAAGGAUGACACACAAGUUCGUGAAGUGUUUCAUAUUUUU
Molecule: small nuclear RNA, 107 nt
Organism: Camelus dromedarius (Arabian camel)
Lineage: Eukaryota; Metazoa; Chordata; Mammalia; Artiodactyla; Camelidae
Source: Ensembl